GACGAACGCUGGCGGCGUGCUUAACACAUGCAAGUCGAACGGAAAGGCCCUGCUUUUGUGGGGUGCUCGAGUGGCGAACGGGUGAGUAACACGUGAGUAACCUGCCCUUGACUUUGGGAUAACUUCAGGAAACUGGGGCUAAUACCGGAUAGGAGCUCCUGCUGCAUGGUGGGGGUUGGAAAGUUUCGGCGGUUGGGGAUGGACUCGCGGCUUAUCAGCUUGUUGGUGGGGUAGUGGCUUACCAAGGCUUUGACGGGUAGCCGGCCUGAGAGGGUGACCGGCCACAAUGGGACUGAGAUACGGCGCAGACUCCUACGGGAGGCAGCAGUGGGGAAUAUUACACAAUGGGCGGAAGCCUGAUGCAGCAACGCCGCGUGCGGGAUGACGGCCUUCGGGUUGUAAACCGCUUUCGCCUGUGACGAAGCGUGAGUGACGGUAAUGGGUAAAGAAGCACCGGCUAACUACGUG
Molecule: ribosomal RNA, 468 nt
Filed under: uncultured bacterium
Lineage: Bacteria
Description: partial 16S ribosomal RNA
Rfam family: Bacterial small subunit ribosomal RNA
Source: RNAcentral